RNAcentral lists this ribosomal RNA (895 nucleotides) under Pentatrichomonas hominis. Its description in RNAcentral is "SSU rRNA". It matches the Rfam family "Eukaryotic small subunit ribosomal RNA", at positions 425 to 1472 of the family's 1831-position model. The record is from RNAcentral. Lineage: Eukaryota; Parabasalia; Trichomonadida; Trichomonadidae.
GCAGCAGGCGCGAAACUUACCCACUCGAGACUUUCGGAGGAGGUAAUGACCAGUUUCAUGUGAAGCUUAUGCUUCUGUGAAUAGGAUCACACUUUUCCAGUGUGGUGAAACCUAGCAGAGGGCCAGUCUGGUGCCAGCAGCUGCGGUAAUUCCAGCUCUGCGAGUUUGCUCCCAUAUUGUUGCAGUUAAAACGCCCGUAGUCGGAAUUGGACAGCAAUGUCCCUACGUUUCAACGUUCACUGUGAACAAAUCAGGACGCUUAGAGUAUGGUAACAAGAAUGACUCAGCGCAGUACGAAGUCUUUGUUUCUUUCGGGAAACAAGCUCAAUGAGAGCCAUCGGGGGUGGAUCUAUUUCAUGGCGAGUGGUGGAAUACUUUGACCCAUGAGAGAGACACGGAGGCGAAGGCGUCCACCUAGAGGGUUUCUGUCGAUCAAGGGCGAGAGUAGGAGUAUCCAACCGGAUUAGAGACCCGGGUAGUUCCUACUGUAAACGAUGCCGACAGAGGUUUGUCAUUUUAUAAUGGCAGAACUUUUAGAGAAAUCAUAGUUCUUGGGCUCUGGGGGAACUACGACCGCAAGGCUGAAACUUGAAGGAAUUGACGGAAGGGCACACCAGGGGUGGAGCCUGUGGCUUAAUUUGAAUCAACACGGGGGAACUUACCAGGACCAGAUGUUUUUUAUGACUGACAGGCUUCGGGUCUUUCAGGAUAUUGCUUUUGGUGGUGCAUGGCCGUUGGUGGUGCGUGGGUUGACCUGUCUAGCGUUGAUUCAGCUAACGAGCGAGAUUAUCGCCAAUUAUAUACCUCGCAUUGGCUUCAGUGUUGAGGUUCUAAUUGGGACUCCCUGCGAUUUUAGCAGGCGGAAGAGGGUAGCAAUAACAGGUCCGUGAUGUCC